Molecule: ribosomal RNA, 253 nt
Filed under: uncultured bacterium
Lineage: Bacteria
Description: partial 16S ribosomal RNA
Rfam family: Bacterial small subunit ribosomal RNA
Source: RNAcentral
UACGUAGGUGGCAAGCGUUGUCCGGAUUUAUUGGGUUUAAAGGGUGCGUAGGCGGCCCGCUAAGUCAGUUGUGAAAUACCCCGGCUCAACCGGGGGGGUGCGAUUGAUACUGGUGGGCUUGAGUCACAGCGAGGUUGGCGGAAUUGAUGGUGUAGCGGUGAAAUGCAUAGAUAUCAUCAAGAACACCGAUAGCGAAGGCAGCCAACUAGGGGUGAACUGACGCUGAGGCACGAAAGUGCGGGGAUCAAACAGG